GUAGUUAACUGCAGAAAUCAGAAUAUUGGAUAGCAGUAACUAAGGCCAUUGGCAAUUUCUAUCAUAUAUCAUAAUUUAUUUGUGUGAUUCCUUUACCAACUACAUGUUUCUAUUUGUUUCCUAUAUUUUGUUUGUUCCUGAAUAUUUUAUGAAUUGUGUAUUUCUAUUUUAAUACAUAAGACUCUUUUUCAUGCAAUUUACUCAAUGGCCUAUAUGAGAAGCCCUAAAUAAAGCUAUUCCUCAUUUGUACGCUUUCUUACUUAUAUAGAUCAAAAUAUGGAAUUCUCUGCAGGUUAACUAAUACAUGCAUCAGCUUUGUAUCAUAAAGAUUUCACCAUCCCAAGGUAAUGGAAAUAAGUUCACAAGAUUCUCAUGUUGAGGUCUGUACAAAGAGAUACAAGGCAAUGUCUGUGUGCUGGAAGGAGAAACUCACUGCCAAAGCUAUAAUCCCUGAUGCUAAAGCCUGCAUGUUCAGAUCUGCAGAGUUUACUCAUAUUACUGUAUGAAUGAUUAAUACAGAGGGAGCCCUUUUGUCAGGUCAUUUAAUCAUUUAAUCAUAGGUACAUUAUCUCAGAGGGAGUAUUUCAUUUUCUACCUGAACCAAGUUGUUAUUUCAUUUCUAAGAGGCAAAGAGUUCCUCCUGUUCCCAGUUUUGGCUCACUUUCUUGAUGCAUCUCGGAUGAGAGGAAAUGAAUGGAUAAUCUGACAAGCAAUGUUCGGGCAUACCCUUAUAUUUACGUCUGAUGAAAUGCUGCGGGUGCAAACUAAUCAAGACUGCUGCCAUGAGCAAAAGAGCAGACAUUACUUAUGAGAAAACAAUAAAAGAAUCCUCCGUGACUACAUACCACAACGAGUCAAAGACGAUGAAAGCACUACUCCAUUGGUGGUGUUAGCAAGUGGAGUCUGGAGGGAGAACAACACAAAGUAGGAAAUUGAUUCCCUCGCCCUCGCUUGCUUCAACGACCCCGCCCGUCUUGGUGGGGUCGAUUCCCCCAUCGCCCGACUCAUCUCCGACGAGUAUGGCAUCAGUGGGUACGCCCCGCCGUUCGUAUGCUUGGCGGGUCCCAGAACACCCGUGACGUGUAUGAGCUUGACUAGGGCGAGGGGCUCGUGCUCGUGCUCGAGCUCGACAAGACGCACUUCGAUCUCGUCACCAACUACGAGCUGGACUAUGAGACUCCAGAGCAGGCGGGGGCGACGAAGACGAAAGUGGGGGCAGUUCGAGCUUGUCGCUGCCGGAGACCCUGGAGAGGUGCGCGAAGAGACCUGGUUAGAUUUGUUGGCCACCACUGGUAGAUGCUCCAUGUCUCCUCCUCUGGUUCCUUGUGCAUUAUUGGGUUGUC
Molecule: long non-coding RNA, 1343 nt
Organism: Triticum aestivum (bread wheat)
Lineage: Eukaryota; Viridiplantae; Streptophyta; Magnoliopsida; Poales; Poaceae
Exons: 4
Source: RefSeq, a predicted model, not a curated record